GAUGAACGCUGGCGGCGUGCCUAAUACAUGCAAGUCGAGCGAACAGAUAAGGAGCUUGCUCCUUUGACGUUAGCGGCGGACGGGUGAGUAACACGUGGGUAACCUACCUAUAAGACUGGGAUAACUUCGGGAAACCGGAGCUAAUACCGGAUAAUAUUUCGAACCGCAUGGUUCGAUAGUGAAAGAUGGUUUUGCUAUCACUUAUAGUUGGACCCGCGCCGUAUUAGCUAGUUGGUAAGGUAACGGCUUACCAAGGCGACGAUACGUAGCCGACCUGAGAGGGUGAUCGGCCACACUGGAACUGAGACACGGUCCAGACUCCUACGGGAGGCAGCAGUAGGGAAUCUUCCGCAAUGGGCGAAAGCCUGACGGAGCGACGCCGCGUGAGUGAUGAAGGUCUUCGGAUCGUAAAACUCUGUUAUUAGGGAAGAACAUACGUGUAAGUAACUGUGCACGUCUUGACGGUACCUAAUCAGAAAGCCACGGCUAACUACGUG
This 497-nucleotide ribosomal RNA is filed under the name uncultured bacterium. Its description in RNAcentral is "partial 16S ribosomal RNA". It matches the Rfam family "Bacterial small subunit ribosomal RNA", at positions 28 to 507 of the family's 1533-position model. The record is from RNAcentral.